Molecule: ribosomal RNA, 253 nt
Filed under: uncultured bacterium
Lineage: Bacteria
Description: partial 16S ribosomal RNA
Rfam family: Bacterial small subunit ribosomal RNA
Source: RNAcentral
UACGUAGGGCGCAAGCGUUGUCCGGAAUUAUUGGGCGUAAAGAGCUCGUAGGCGGUUCGUCGCGUCGGCUGUGAAAUCCCGAGGCUCAACCUCGGGUCUGCAGUCGAUACGGGCGGACUGGAGUACUGCAGGGGAGACUGGAAUUCCCGGUGUAGCGGUGAAAUGCGCAGAUAUCGGGAGGAACACCAAUGGCGAAGGCAGCUCGCUGGGACGGUACUGACGCUGAGGCACGAAAGCGUGGGGAGCAAACAGG